Pangasianodon hypophthalmus (striped catfish) is the source of this 3388-nucleotide long non-coding RNA. RefSeq lists it as uncharacterized. The record is from RefSeq and is a predicted model, not a curated record. Lineage: Eukaryota; Metazoa; Chordata; Actinopteri; Siluriformes; Pangasiidae. The transcript has 3 exons.
ACUUAGUCAACAUGAGGUGCAGUUUAUCACAUGAUAUAUACUGUAAAAUGUUUUUUACUCUAAUAAUUGAGAGUCUCAGAGCCAUUUAUGAUCAUUGCGAUCUGGGAUAAGAGUAUAAUAUGAGUAAUAUCGCUAACGAUUUACAUGCAGGAGCUGUGAUAAGUCUGAUCCUGACGGAGCGUCUGGGAAUGGAUGGGUGGUGCUUUUCUCACACACGCUGAUGUGACUCAGGGUGACUUUGGCACAAUCAUACAGUGACAAGUGAGGACAAGAUGCUAACAGUAACCAGCGGGAUCCCACGAGAAGAGAAAAGAUUGAGUACUGCAUUUCCCUCUACAUGGGAGUCUGUCAGUCAACUCUGUCCCAUCUUCAACUGGUCCACAAUGCAUCUGCUCGGCUCCUGACCGGCACCAAAAACAGGAACAUCUCUUGUGUCUUCAGUGACCUUCCUUCACUGGCUGCCAGUCAGAGCUUUGAGAUCAUCUAAUCAGCUACUUUUAACCAUUCCUCGGAUUCAGAAGAAGUUCAGAGGAGACCAGGGCUUUUCUGUCACUGCUCCGAGAUUCAUAAAGACAUCUCCUACCCUGGACAUUUUUAAAUCCAAUCUAAAAAUGUUCCCAGGCUUUUGAAGGUCUGUAAGACUUUGGCUGCCACUCAUUGUCUUUUAAUGUGCUGUAUAAAUAAAGGUGACUUGACCUGAUGCCUAAAGCAUAGCGAAGCGCACCACAUGGCAUAGCAGAGAACUGUGAACUUUUUCACUGACCAUUCUGUUAACGCUGUCUGUUUCUCUGGCUAGAAAGUAGCAACACAACGCUAAAAAUGAACUAAAGCUAAACAGAACAGCUUCUCUUAACAUUUUACAGCAAUAAUAGGAUCAACUCGGCACUAAACUGUCUGCUGAAAGAGUCAACACCGCUAAACCAUCAAACGGCCAACUUUCCCUUUUCCAGCAUAUUUGUAUAACUGCGGGAUGAGCGCCAGCUCUCCAGUUUAGUUAUGCAAUAUUCCAUGUUAACAUUCCAGGAAGUAUCUCUUCUUACAGCCAGCUUAUUAAACAGCAAGGCUCUUUUGUUUUAUCAUGUUUCUGUCUCAACAUUGCUGAUAUUUUACACCAAAACUACAGACAACUAUGUGGAAUGCGGCGCUUAAGAAACAAACCUUCUGCACAGCACGUAUACAGUCGCUAACUUUCCCUGAAAAUGUCAUUUUAAACCAUUAAUUACAACCAAUGUACAGGAAUAAAUUGUGUAAUAUGAUCUAUCUUUAUAAAUUUACAUAAAUAUCCAACUUAUUUCACUAUACCACUAGCAGUAGCUAACUCAGCUAGCUGCUAUUUUACAAGCUAAACUAACUGCUAGUAAAUUAGCGACAAAUUAUAUUUGUCACAACUUGACCAGAGUGAGAUUUCAGAAUGUGUAUUGAUUAUUGAUUAAUCAUUUUCAGAAUGAUUUAUUUAACAGCAGCCACAUCUGUCAAAAUAUAAUAUUACCAUAGCAACCAUGAUUUUGUUUAGCGCUGUAACUAGCUAGGUUUACUAGCUAGCCAGCUUAGCGUGAAGGUUUCUGGAUGCCACAUCAUCGUCCUCUGAUCUCAGACGUAAUCGAAGCUUAUUUUGUGACAUGAUACAUUGAGCUCGGAUGAAGCUCCGCCCCCAAAUCAGUUCCUACACCAGCAAUGAGAAAGUUUAAAUUGGUUUUAGAAAUGGAAAAAUGCAACUUUUGACCCAAACACGUAAAUCUAUAUAGAUCAUUCCAUGACUGUGGUACUAUUUCUCUCUCACAGAUAUUACGUUUAUAAAGCUGUAUGUAAAGUAAAGGUUAAAAGGUUAUGUUUAAAUACAGGUUUCCUUCACAGUAACCUACGUGCAUGUUUCAGAUAAAUAACUUAAAUCAUUAACUUCACGUCUCCUUGAAAUGAUCAAAAUACUUCUGAAAACGUUUUAUUUUUGUAACAUCUCAUGCUUUUCAACCUUUUCCAAGAGCUGUCCACUACAAGUUAUGAAAAACUUCCCCAAGUCACAUGUUCAACACAAUGUUGCAUCAUCAGAAUUUCCUGAAGAUCAUGGGAAGAAGAAAAGUAAGUUCUCUUAUUCUUUCUGUGAUAUUGUGACGUACAACCUUGUUAACCAAAUAAUAAACUGAAAGUAAAUUAUUCAUUUAUGAAAAUAACAUUGUAAGUAAAUCAUUACAAUAUCCUUAACGUCGUCAUGCUAUUAGCAUGGAUGCUAGUUAACUACAUUUUUGUGUAUUUACUAAUUCUAUGCUAAAGUCAUACCUGCUAUUCGUUUAAGAGCAAAAUGCAGAGAGAACCCUUGUUUAAAGAAAAGACUGUUGCUUGAACUAUGUGUAAAUAGUUAAACGCAUGUUUUCUUGGAUUCAACGUUUAAAACGAUAAAAAAAUAAAAUAAAAAUGAAUUUAAUAAGGUGACGUUUACUUCAUGCUCAGGGGAGAUUUGUGUUCUCUGUGAUUACCGUGUAAAUUUAACACCACGUAUGUGAAACAUGUGGGACAGUCGCAUACUUUCAAAAACAAAUGACAUGUCCUUUAAUCUUUCAUCUUAAAAGUCACCCUGCUGUUUUAGCAGUGAGAAAAAGAAAUGGCACCCGUCAGAGCAAAAACAAAAGCUUUGAAGUUUCUACUGUUAAGUCGAGAACAAGUCGAUUAACUGACGUGUGAAUGAAGACGAACAGACUCAUUUCAAUAAAACCUAAAGAUCAGCACUCAUUUUAGUGAUUCAAAUCCAGGACGUAUUAAAAUGUCCUGUGUUUUUUUUUUUUUCUUUCACAAGGAGCACGUCUUCCAGUUUAGUUUUCCGAGAAGUCAUGAGCCUCAUGUCACUUAUGCUACCUAUUUAAAACCACAGUGAGGAAUUUCCGGAUUAAAAAAAUGCAGCAUCUGCAUUGUCAUCUGCUUUCUUAAAAAAAAAAAAAAAAAAAAUUUCUAUAUUUAUAUAAUUACGCUGCUGAAAUCCAGAUAAAUGCAGCAAUCAGAGACCAAAAGGAACUCAUUAGAAAGUAAAUGAAUCAAGAUUUUUCUGCUGUUUCCACUCAUGUGAGAAUAGCUCUUGGAAUAAAGAGUCGGAAAAAACAAUUAUUAGUAAUGAAACCAGAAUUUGAAUUGUGGAAAAAAAAGAAAAAUGUCGUUGUUGUUGGUCUUGUUGUUAUUGGUAUGUGAAAUCAUGCGUUGAACAAAACAAAUCUGAGUUUCCAGUAACUCUCACGUUUCCUUCUGACGGCUCUCAUGGCUCUCUGUUAUUCCUUAUAUUUAUUAUUCCAGGCUACAUGAGAUGAGAUUGCACUCUGGUAACCUUGAGGCAAGUGUGCGUGUGUGUGUGUUCCUGUGUGUUUUAGGGAUAAUGAAAAACACCCAUCACACACACACACACACA